AAGGAAAACUAGGAUAAAAGUAAAAGGACGUAAAAGAAAACGAAAAGUCUUUCAGAGAAAAGAAGAAGAAAGAAUAUCCUUCAGUGAAAACAGAAAAAAGAAACCUGGAGAAAUGAAACAUCAGAGUAACCAGAGAAGAAAUCAAACGAGAGUUCAUUAGUAGUGGCGAACGAACGUGAAGAAGUCAAAGAGUAGUACAUAAGAAAGUAUGAAGAAAGGUGAACCAUCAUCUAAGACUAAAAAGACUUUUAUACCGAUAGUGAACAAGUACUGUGAAGGAAAGUUGAAAAAGAAUAGCAAAGCUAUAGUGAAAAAGAACAGAAAUUGCGGAUAUGAGAGAAUCUGAAGCAAAAAAGUAAUGUAACAGAGUACCUUUUGUCUAAGGGAUUUACAAGUAUUUAUUUCUUGCAAGCUAAAUUAGAAAAGUAGGCAAAGUGAAAACGAAAAGAGUAAGAGGUAAAUGACCCGAGACCAUGUGAUCUUACCAUGUCCAGAGGGAAGUAUGAAGAAAUUCAUAUGGACGCUCGAACCCGUAUUUGUCGCAAUAAAUUGGGAUGAGGUGUGGUAAGUGGUGAAAUGCUAAUCGAACAUGGAAAUAGCUGGUUCUUGGUGAAAUAUUUAUAAGAAUAGUCUAUAAGAAGUAACUUUUUAGGGUAAAACACUGUAUUUUCUACUGGCUCAAAGACUUGAGAACAUAGAAUGUAUAAUUUAUGAAUAUAAAAAGUAAGUAUUAUGGAAUCGGAAUUAUUGCGAUAAGGUAAUAAUUCGAGAGGGAAACAACCCAGAACUAUAGUUAAGAUCUCUAAUAUCUAUCUUAGUGUUAAAGGAAGUCAGAUUUUUUAGACAAUCUAUAAGUAGGCUUGGAGACAGCCAUCUUUUAAAGAAAACGUAAUAGUUUAUAGACCUUAGAGAUCAGCACCGAAAAUAUAGGAGGCUGAAGAUAGAAAUCGAAACUUAGUUUAUUAAAUUAAGGUAACCAAGCGUUCUAUGUAAAAGAAAAAUAAAGAAAACUAAACAUAGAAGUGACAAUGUAAAUAUGAGUAACGAUAAUUCAAGUGAAAAUCUUGAACACCUUAAACCCAAGGUUUCCAAUUCUCUGAUAAUCAUAAUUGGGUAAAUCAGUCCCUAAGUAAAAAGCGAAAGUUGUAUACGAUGGGGUAACUUCUAAACAUUAAGAAUUUUAACACCUUUGGGUAUUUAAAUAUUAAUCAGGAAAAAAGAAGUUGAAAAAAACUGUACUAAAUCUAACACAAGUGGGUAAGUAGAAUAUAUGAAGGUGAUGAAAUAAUAAUCUUGAAGGAACUCGGCAAAAUGAAUCCGUAAGUUCGCAAGAAGGAUAUAAAGAGAGAAGGUCGACUAUUUACCAAAACUACAGGCUCUUGCGAAAUCGUAAAGAUGAUGUAUAAGAGUUGACUCCUGCCCAAUGGUUAAACCUUAAAAGUUAUUGUUAAAAGCUUUAACUCUAUGACUAACUAAAUGGCCGCGAUAUUCCUGAUCGUGAAAAUGUAGCGCAAUCAAUAGUCUAUUAAUUGUAGACAAGUAUGAAUGGAGUAACGAAUCUUCUACUGUCUCCAAGGUUAUUUCAGUGAAAUUAAAAUAAGAGUAAAGAUGCUCUUUAAACGCUAUAAGACAAGAAGACCCUAUCUGCCUUACUGUAUCCUCUUUUUGUUUUCUAUUUCUUUUCANNAGUGAAAUACCAUCGGUUGAGAAAAAAUAGAACUAAUGUUGAGAGAGAGUGUCAGUCUUAUUGGGGCGAUAGUCUUUUAAAAGGUAACAAAGACUCGCAAUAGGUUAAUUCAUAGAGAAUAGAUAUCUCUAGUUGAAUGUAAAUGUAAAAAUUAGCUUGACUGUAAGUUGUAUUUAACGAACAGGGUGGAAACACGGUAUUAGUGACCCACUACUUUUGUAUGGAAUAGGUAGUGAUCAUAAGCUAGGUAACAAUAGGGAUAACAGGCUUAUACCCUCUUAGAGUUCUUAUCGAAGAGGGUGUUUGGCACCUCGAUGUUGAAUCGCCACAUCCUGGAGGAGCAGGUUCUUCCAAGGGUUUUUCUGUUCGAAAAUUAAAGUGGU
RNAcentral lists this ribosomal RNA (2070 nucleotides) under Heterosiphonia pulchra. Its description in RNAcentral is "bacterial LSU rRNA". It matches the Rfam family "Bacterial large subunit ribosomal RNA", at positions 24 to 2597 of the family's 2925-position model. The record is from RNAcentral. Lineage: Eukaryota; Rhodophyta; Florideophyceae; Ceramiales; Dasyaceae.